CAGCCGCCGCGGGAAUACGUAGGGUGCAAGCGUUAAUCGGAAUUACUGGGCGUAAAGCGUGCGCAGGCGGUUUGUUAAGACAGAUGUGAAAUCCCCGGGCUUAACCUGGGAACUGCAUUUGUGACUGGCAAGCUAGAGUAUGGCAGAGGGGGGUGGAAUUCCGCGUGUAGCAGUGAAAUGCGUAGAUAUGCGGAGGAACACCGAUGGCGAAGGCAGCCCCCUGGGCCAAUACUGACGCUCAUGCACGAAAGCGUGGGGAGCAAACAGGAUUAGAUACCCGCGUAGUCCCUGUCUCUUAUAC
This 301-nucleotide ribosomal RNA is filed under the name uncultured bacterium. RNAcentral describes it as "partial 16S ribosomal RNA". It matches the Rfam family "Bacterial small subunit ribosomal RNA", at positions 509 to 807 of the family's 1533-position model. The record is from RNAcentral.